GAUGAACGCUGGCGGCGUGCCUAAUACAUGCAAGUCGAGCGAACAGAUGAGGAGCUUGCUCCUCUGACGUUAGCGGCGGACGGGUGAGUAACACGUGGAUAACCUACCUAUAAGACUGGGAUAACUUCGGGAAACCGGAGCUAAUACCGGAUAAUAUAUUGAACCGCAUGGUUCAAUAGUGAAAGACGGUUUUGCUGUCACUUAUAGAUGGAUCCGCGCCGCAUUAGCUAGUUGGUAAGGUAACGGCUUACCAAGGCAACGAUGCGUAGCCGACCUGAGAGGGUGAUCGGGCACACUGGAACUGAGACACGGUCCAGACUCCUACGGGAGGCAGCAGUAGGGAAUCUUCCGCAAUGGGCGAAAGCCUGACGGAGCAACGCCGCGUGAGUGAUGAAGGUCUUCGGAUCGUAAAAAUCUGUUAUUAGGGAAGAACAAAUGUGUAAGUAACUAUGCACGUCUUGACGGUACCUAAUCAGAAAGCCACGGCUAACUACGUG
Molecule: ribosomal RNA, 497 nt
Filed under: uncultured bacterium
Lineage: Bacteria
Description: partial 16S ribosomal RNA
Rfam family: Bacterial small subunit ribosomal RNA
Source: RNAcentral